ACGCUCGACACCUACGGGGGGCAGCAGUGGGGAAUAUUGCACAAUGGAGGAAACUCUGAUGCAGCGACGCCGCGUGAGCGAAGAAGUAUUUCGGUAUGUAAAGCUCUAUCAGCAGGGAAGAAAAAGGACGGUACCUGACUAAGAAGCUCCGGCUAAAUACGUGCCGGCAGCCGCGGUAAUCUGAGCGGGCUGGCAAGGC
This 199-nucleotide ribosomal RNA is filed under the name uncultured bacterium. RNAcentral describes it as "partial 16S ribosomal RNA". It matches the Rfam family "Bacterial small subunit ribosomal RNA", at positions 328 to 539 of the family's 1533-position model. The record is from RNAcentral.